AUUGAACGCUGGCGGCAGGCCUAACACAUGCAAGUCGAGCGGAUGAAGGGAGCUUGCUCCUGGAUUCAGCGGCGGACGGGUGAGUAAUGCCUAGGAAUCUGCCUGGUAGUGGGGGAUAACGUCCGGAAACGGGCGCUAAUACCGCAUACGUCCUGAGGGAGAAAGUGGGGGAGCUUGGGACCUCCGGCACUCGGACGAUCGAAGGUCGGAUUAGCUAGUUGGUGGGGUAAAGGCCUACCAAGGCGACGAUCCGUAACUGGUCUGAGAGGAUGAUCAGUCACACUGGAACUGAGACACGGUCCAGACUCCUACGGGAGGCAGCAGUGGGGAAUAUUGGACAAUGGGCGAAAGCCUGAUCCAGCCAUGCCGCGUGUGUGAAGAAGGUCUUCGGAUUGUAAAGCACUUUAAGUUGGGAGGAAGGGCAGUAAGUUAAUACCUUGCUGUUUUGACGUUACCAACAGAAUAAGCACCGGCUAACUUCGUG
Molecule: ribosomal RNA, 484 nt
Filed under: uncultured bacterium
Lineage: Bacteria
Description: partial 16S ribosomal RNA
Rfam family: Bacterial small subunit ribosomal RNA
Source: RNAcentral